AUGGUCCGCCGUCUUCUCGAGCGUCGGCGCUGCGCUCAGCCGCCGCCGUCCCAUGCCAUGGAAGCCUCCCUCCAAAACAACCUGCCAUGGCCGCCUCCCUGCCUCUCCCGCAAGUGGGCCUCUGCGCGACCAGAUCCGUUCCUCUGCGCCUCGCUCCGCGCGCCUCCAUGGUCCUCCGUCUUCCCGAGCGCCGGCGCCGCGUGCAGCCACCGCCGUCCCAUGCCAUGGCCUCCUCCUGAUGUCCAAUUCUUUUUGUUGUUGCUAUAUUCAACCUCAUCUCUGAAAUUUUACAUCUUGAUGUGUUGCUGCUAUAUGCAGGUGUAUCAAGUUUCACAAGGAGUCUGUACUGGAGGCAUACAGUAG
This 363-nucleotide ribosomal RNA is filed under the name Triticum aestivum (bread wheat). RNAcentral describes it as "partial small subunit ribosomal RNA". Lineage: Eukaryota; Viridiplantae; Streptophyta; Magnoliopsida; Poales; Poaceae. The record is from RNAcentral.